This 253-nucleotide ribosomal RNA is filed under the name uncultured bacterium. RNAcentral describes it as "partial 16S ribosomal RNA". It matches the Rfam family "Bacterial small subunit ribosomal RNA", at positions 524 to 776 of the family's 1533-position model. The record is from RNAcentral.
UACGUAGGGCGCGAGCGUUGUCCGGAAUUAUUGGGCGUAAAGAGCUCGUAGGCGGCCGGUUGCGUCUGCUGUGAAAUCCCGGGGCUUAACCCCGGGCGUGCAGUGGAUACGGGCCGGCUGGAGGCAGGCAGGGGAGAAUGGAAUUCCCGGUGUAGCGGUGAAAUGCGCAGAUAUCGGGAGGAACACCGGUGGCGAAGGCGGCUAUCUGGACAGUGACUGACGCUGAGACGCGAAAGCGUGGGGAGCAAACAGG